RNAcentral lists this ribosomal RNA (253 nucleotides) under uncultured bacterium. RNAcentral's name for it is "partial 16S ribosomal RNA". It matches the Rfam family "Bacterial small subunit ribosomal RNA", at positions 524 to 776 of the family's 1533-position model. The record is from RNAcentral.
UACGAAGGGUGCGAGCGUUAAUCGGAAUUACUGGGCGUAAAGCGCGCGUAGGUGGUUCAGUAAGUUGGAAGUGAAAUCCCCGGGCUCAACCUGGGAACUGCUUUCAAAACUGCUGAGCUAGAGUACGGUAGAGGGUGGUGGAAUUUCCUGUGUAGCGGUGAAAUGCGUAGAUAUAGGAAGGAACACCAGUGGCGAAGGUGACCACCUGGACUGAUACUGACACUGAGGUGCGAAAGCGUGGGGAGCAAACAGG